Molecule: ribosomal RNA, 440 nt
Filed under: uncultured bacterium
Lineage: Bacteria
Description: partial 16S ribosomal RNA
Rfam family: Bacterial small subunit ribosomal RNA
Source: RNAcentral
CCUACGGGAGGCAGCAGUGGGGAAUAUUGCACAAUGGGGGGAACCCUGAUGCAGCAACGCCGCGUGGGUGAAGAAGUACUUCGGUAUGUAAAGCCCUGUCAGCAGGGAAGAAAAUGACGGUACCUGACCAAGAAGCCCCGGCUAACUACGUGCGAGCAGCCGCGGGAAUACGUAGGGGGCAAGCGUUAUCCGGAUUUACUGGGUGUAAAGGGGGAGUAGACGGCAAGGCAAGUCUGGAGUGAAAGCCCGUGGCUCAACCACGGGACUGCUUUGGAAACUGUGUUGCUGGAGUGCAGGAGGGGUAAGCGGAAUGCCUAGUGUAGCGGUGAAAUGCGUAGAUAUUAGGAGGAACCCCGGUGGCGAAGGCGGCUUACUGGACUGUAACUGACGUUGAGGCUCGAAGGCGUGGGGAGCAAACAGGAUUAGAUACCCUUGUAGUC